RNAcentral lists this transfer RNA (73 nucleotides) under Camelus bactrianus (Bactrian camel). It matches the Rfam family "tRNA". Rfam says of the family: Transfer RNA (tRNA) molecules are approximately 80 nucleotides in length. Their secondary structure includes four short double-helical elements and three loops (D, anti-codon, and T loops). RNAcentral also lists the same sequence under 1 other name. The record is from Rfam by way of RNAcentral. Lineage: Eukaryota; Metazoa; Chordata; Mammalia; Artiodactyla; Camelidae.
GGGGACACAGUUCAGUGGUAAAGCAUGUGCUUAGCAUGCACGAAGGUCCUGGGUUCAAUCCCCAGUACUUCCA